GAAUGUGUUGCAAUUUUAAUUGUAUUUAUAGCUUGCAAAUAAUAUAGUACUAGCCACUAGGAGUGGUAUUUCCCUCUGAAUUGGGAUCUUCUUUGCGUCACUCUUUGAUUCUGUCAGUGUGAGUUUUGCAGUUUACAGUUCGCACUAUGUUUGAGCUUGGUGUAUCAUCUCAACUCAACUGGUCAUCUCAAUUCAACUACAAGUGUAUUUGAAAUUUUUGACUAGACUGCCCGAAAAAUUACUCCAGCGUCACAAUUAUUUAUUUAUUUUACUUUUUAUAAACAUGUGUGUGAUCAAAUAGAAGGGUUAAAUUCUUGUGAGUCACAAGUUGUGUGGUAAUUUUUCUAUGUUUUAUGGGUUUUGCUGAUAAGUACGUUUUGAAUACUAAGUUGUUAGAAUAGAU
Molecule: long non-coding RNA, 403 nt
Filed under: Trifolium pratense (red clover)
Lineage: Eukaryota; Viridiplantae; Streptophyta; Magnoliopsida; Fabales; Fabaceae
Description: long non-coding RNA (TPRA_LNC007908)
Source: RNAcentral